Molecule: ribosomal RNA, 427 nt
Filed under: uncultured bacterium
Lineage: Bacteria
Description: bacterial SSU rRNA
Rfam family: Bacterial small subunit ribosomal RNA
Source: RNAcentral
UGGGGAAUUUUGGACAAUGGGCGAAAGCCUGAUCCAGCAAUGCCGCGUGUGUGAAGAAGGCCUUCGGGUUGUAAAGCACUUUUGUCCGGAAAGAAAUCCUCUGGGUUAAUACCUCGGGGGGAUGACGGUACCGGAAGAAUAAGCACCGGCUAACUACGUGCCAGCAGCCGCGGUAAUACGUAGGGUGCAAGCGUUAAUCGGAAUUACUGGGCGUAAAGCGUGCGCAGGCGGUUUUGUAAGACGGAUGUGAAAUCCCCGGGCUUAACCUGGGAACUGUAUUCGUGACUGCAAGGCUAGAGUAUGGCAGAGGGGGGUAGAAUUCCACGUGUAGCAGUGAAAUGCGGAGAGAUGUGGAGGAAUACCGAUGUCGAAGGCAGCCCCCUGGGCCAAUACUGACGCUCAUGCACGAAAGCGUGGGGACCAAACA